GAUGAACGCUGGCGGCGUGCCUAAUACAUGCAAGUCGAGCGAACAGGCGAGGCUCUUGCUCCUCUGACGUUAGCCGCGGACGGGUGAGUAACACGUGGAUAACCUACCUAUAAGACUGGUAUAACUUCGGGAAACCGGAGCUAAUACCGGAUAAUAUAUUGAACCGCAUUGUUCGAUAGUGAAAGACGGUUUUGCUGUCACUUAUCGAUGGAUCCCCGCCGCAUUAGCUAGUUGGUAAGGUAACAGCUUACCAAGGCAACGAUGCGUAGCCGACCUGAGAGGGUGAUCGGCCACACUGGAACUGAGACACGGUCCUGACUCCUACGGGAGGCAGCAGUAGGGAAUCUGACGCAAUGGGCGAAAGCUUGACGGAGCAACGCCGCGUGAGUGAUGAAGGUCUUCGGAUCGUAAAACUCUGUUAUGAGGGAAGAACAAAUGUGUAAGUAACUAUGCACGUCUUGACGGUAACUAAUCAGAAAGCCACGGCUAACUACGUG
This 497-nucleotide ribosomal RNA is filed under the name uncultured bacterium. RNAcentral's name for it is "partial 16S ribosomal RNA". It matches the Rfam family "Bacterial small subunit ribosomal RNA", at positions 28 to 507 of the family's 1533-position model. The record is from RNAcentral.